RNAcentral lists this ribosomal RNA (286 nucleotides) under uncultured Spirochaeta sp. Its description in RNAcentral is "partial 16S ribosomal RNA". It matches the Rfam family "Bacterial small subunit ribosomal RNA", at positions 1097 to 1382 of the family's 1533-position model. The record is from RNAcentral. Lineage: Bacteria; Pseudomonadati; Spirochaetota; Spirochaetia; Spirochaetales; Spirochaetaceae.
CGCAACCCCUGCUAUCUGUUGCCAGCAAGUAAUGUUGGGACGUCAGAUGGAACUGCCGGUGACAAACCGGAGGAAGGUGGGGACGACGUCAAGUCAUCAUGGCCCUUAUGUCCUGGGCUACACACGUGCUACAAUGGCCGGUACAGAGCGCAGCGAAGCCGCGAGGCAAAGCGAAUCGCAAAAAGCCGGUCUCAGUACGGAUUGGAGUCUGAAACCCGACUCCAUGAAGUUGGAAUCGCUAGUAAUCGCGCAUCAGCAUGGCGCGGUGAAUACGUUCCCGGGCCUU